RNAcentral lists this long non-coding RNA (1230 nucleotides) under Marmota monax (woodchuck). Lineage: Eukaryota; Metazoa; Chordata; Mammalia; Rodentia; Sciuridae. The record is from RNAcentral.
GCUAAUUCUCAUAAAGAAUCAGUCCAUAAAAGGAGGAAGGUGUCAGUCCUUCUUAAAGGCCGUACCUCCCACCACUGCUACAUUGACAACCAAAUUUCAGCACAAGUUUGGGAAAUGACCAACCACAUCCAAACUAUAGCACCACCUUCUUUUGGCCUCCCUGAAGGAUUCAUUCUGUUCAUUUGCUUCCACAAAGUCAGGUUUCACCCUUGCAGCAGUUAUGUCAGUCAAUUCUGACACCUGCUAAAAUGGUCAGGAAGGCUUUAUUUAGGAUUAUCGCAAAAGGAGUCGCGAUUAUCAUGAGAGGGGAGAGUGAGCCCCCUCCAAAAACAAGAAGGACAAGUGGAAACUUCCAGCCAAUGAGCAGGGCUAAGGGGAGAGCAGAUGAAAAACGACGAAGAAGAGACCUGGAGAAUGGGAGGUUUCUUGCUAAACCAAUUGAACAACAUUCUCUGGAUGGCAGACAGGGGCAAUCAGGGAGUGAGUGGGGAUGAAGCAUUUGAUCCCUUACGAGGAGGGUGAUCAUAUAUCAAGGGGCAGGGAACGCCUACCAGACAAACUUAGCGGGAUUAUAGCAAAGAGUGGGUGGUCCAGGCCCAGUAAGGGCAGAAGAGGAGCCCAGUGCGUGAUCUAAGUUCCAGACCUGGCUGAGGAGAGAGCAGAGAGAAGCCCAACUAAGGUUGUCAGUGCCACUGCUCUAUGUUUAUGUAUUUGUGUGGCCGUGAAAUUCUGUCUUCAUUUCUACACCGUGAGCUCCUUGUUCACAGGGCCCUUCUGCCUCUGCUUACCAUGUGCUAUGAUCUGGGCGUGGUUUCAUGUGCUGAAAGACUGGUAUAUUAUGGGAUACCAGCAUAGGGUGUUAAAAGACGGUGGAGCCUUUAAGAGGUGGGGCCUAGUAGAAGGUAAUUGCAUCAUGGGGGACACCACCUCAGCAGGAUUAAUGCGUGUCUUGCAGGAAGGAGUUGGUUAGAGCUCCAGGAAACGGGUUGGUUACCACAAGCUGAAGAAACCCUUCAGCUUUCUCUUCUUGCUCUCUUACUUCUGCCCUGACCAUGUACCAUCUCACUCUUGCACGUGUUUCCUCCAUGUGAUGCCACCCUUCAUGUUAUGAUGCAUCAAGAGGUCCUCACCAGAUGUAGUUGCUGGACCUUGAACUUUCAGCUUCCAAAGCGAUGAUCUAAAUCAACCUAUUUGCUUUAGAAGCUACCAGUUUCGGUUUUUUUGUUAUAG